UACGUAGGGAGCAAGCGUUGUCCGGAAUCAUUGGGCGUAAAGCGUGCGUAGGCGGCCCGGUAAGUCCGUUGUAAAAGUCAAAGGCUCAACCUUUGAAAGCCGAUGGAUACUGCCGGGCUAGAGUCCGGAAGAGGCGAGUGGAAUUCCUGGUGUAGCGGUGGAAUGCGCAGAUAUCAGGAGGAACACCUAUAGCGAAGGCAGCUCGCUGGGACGGUACUGACGCUAAGGCACGAAAGCGUGGGGAGCAAACAGG
RNAcentral lists this ribosomal RNA (253 nucleotides) under uncultured bacterium. RNAcentral describes it as "partial 16S ribosomal RNA". It matches the Rfam family "Bacterial small subunit ribosomal RNA", at positions 524 to 776 of the family's 1533-position model. The record is from RNAcentral.